RNAcentral lists this transfer RNA (73 nucleotides) under Pteridomonas sp. YPF1301. RNAcentral's name for it is "tRNA-Phe". It matches the Rfam family "tRNA". Rfam says of the family: Transfer RNA (tRNA) molecules are approximately 80 nucleotides in length. Lineage: Eukaryota; Dictyochophyceae; Pedinellales. The record is from RNAcentral.
GCCUAGAUAGCUCAGUUGGUAGAGCACUGGAUUGAAGAUCCGUUGGUCAUCAGUUCAAAUCUGAUUUUAGGUA